CUGUUGGGUGUCGGGUGCCUAGCACCUGCCCCAAUUUGAGGUAGUCACCCUUGCCUUUUGAGUACCCUUUCGUUUCCUCGGUGGGCUCGCCCGCCGGUGGACAACCAAAAACUCUUUUGUAAUAGCAGUAUCUUCUGAGAAGAAACAAAUAGUUA
RNAcentral lists this unclassified non-coding RNA (155 nucleotides) under uncultured Trichocladium. RNAcentral describes it as "sequence contains ITS1". The record is from RNAcentral. Lineage: Eukaryota; Fungi; Ascomycota.